UCCGGGAUUUACUGGGCGUAAAGGGUGCGUAGGUGGUUUCUUAAGUCAGGACGUGAAAGGCUACGGCUUAACCGUAGUAAGCUCUUGAAACUGGGAAACUUGAGUGCAGGAGAGGAAAGUGGAAUUCCUAGUGUAGCGGUGAAAUGCGUAGAUAUUAGGAGGAACACCAGUAGCGAAGGCGGCUUUCUGGACUGUAACUGACACUGAGGCACGAAAGCGUGGGGAGC
Molecule: ribosomal RNA, 227 nt
Filed under: uncultured bacterium
Lineage: Bacteria
Description: partial 16S ribosomal RNA
Rfam family: Bacterial small subunit ribosomal RNA
Source: RNAcentral